RNAcentral lists this long non-coding RNA (255 nucleotides) under Hordeum vulgare. RNAcentral's name for it is "long non-coding RNA (HVUL_LNC002819)". Lineage: Eukaryota; Viridiplantae; Streptophyta; Magnoliopsida; Poales; Poaceae. The record is from RNAcentral.
CUAAUUUAAAAUAGCACUUGACCUGACCAUGUAGGUUAGGUUGAUGGGGAAUGAGGCUAAACACUUUUUGCACGUUAGGAUGAGACUUCACAGAUUAUUCAAACAGAAGUUGGUAUUUUGAGUAUAGAUCUGUCUUAUUAGCCAGACUAAUCAAAUUUAAUUAGGUUGAUUUUUGGCAAGUUAAUAAUUGUAUAAUUUCAUUAUGUUGUCUGGUGAGUUGUGCUAGUUGUUAACGUGCUUUGGAGGCCAGACUCA